RNAcentral lists this ribosomal RNA (371 nucleotides) under uncultured bacterium. RNAcentral's name for it is "bacterial SSU rRNA". It matches the Rfam family "Bacterial small subunit ribosomal RNA", at positions 527 to 896 of the family's 1533-position model. The record is from RNAcentral.
GGGGGGUGCAAGCGUUGUUCGGAUUUAUUGGGCGUAAAGCGCGUGUAGGCGGUUUUUUAAGUCUGAUGUGAAAGCCCUGGGCUCAACCCGGGAAGUGCAUUGGAUACUGGAAGACUUGAAUACGGGAGAGGGCAGUGGAAUUCCUAGUGUAGGAGUGAAAUCCGUAGAUAUUAGGAGGAACACCGGUGGCGAAGGCGGCUGCCUGGACCGAUAUUGACGCUGAGACGCGAAAGCGUGGGUAGCAAACAGGAUUAGAUACCCUGGUAGUCCACGCCGUAAACGAUGAGAACUAGGUGUUGCGGGUAUUGACCCCUGCAGUGCCGUAGCUAACGCAUUAAGUUCUCCGCCUGGGAAGUACGGUCGCAAGACUA